Phalaenopsis equestris is the source of this 806-nucleotide long non-coding RNA. RefSeq lists it as uncharacterized. The record is from RefSeq and is a predicted model, not a curated record. The transcript is spliced from 3 exons. Lineage: Eukaryota; Viridiplantae; Streptophyta; Magnoliopsida; Asparagales; Orchidaceae.
UUUUACUAGUUGUCGGAACAUCACAAGCAUAUCCGGUAAAUUUUUGAGGUUCAUGCCAAAAAUAGGCUCAGAAAUAUGUUUACUACAACGCUGAAGAAGGGGCAGAGGCUCUUUGAGUUGGUGUGGAAGUUCAGGCUACAAUAAACAAAGCAUGGGCCUCUAUGGAAUAGCAGAGAAAGAGAAAGACAAAUCAACAUAACCAGAUGACAAAGGGAGCCAGAGGGGCUGCACUCCACAUCAGAAGUUCGAUCCCCCACACAGGGCAUUAUUGGAGAUUAAAACUUGACGGAGAGACAUCCGCUGCAGAGUUGCACAUCCUCACACAUCAAUGCAUGGGCACACAACUAAAGAGUACGAGCAGCUCCGGGAGAGACAGAGGGAGAUGACUAGCAAGACCUCGCUAUUCGUCAGCAGCAGUGGUAGUCAGUCCACGAUUGUUUAGUCUGAUUUUGAGUUGUGAAUGCAAUUAACGGGGAAGAAGAAGAGGAGAGUGUACAACUUAGAAGCUAAGGGGAUAGCAUUUAAGGUUAAGCACUUCCGUGCAGCUAUGGGUGACCCUAGCUCGUUACAGGCUCAACAUGAGGAGCUUACCAGGCUGGCCAUGAUGAUGAAAGAAUAGCUCUGAUAGAUGUGUAAAGACCAACAAAUGGUUGGAAAUAGUCUAGCAUGACUGAUGAAGAGCUUUGAUUGCUAGGGCAACUGACAUAUGAGGGUUGUCGAGGAGGAUGAGGAGGAGAAGGAGUAGGAUCAUUAUAAGGAGAAAGAUUAUGAUUUUUAUUUUGUGUUGGAUGAUGUUCCCUCGACAU